CCUACGGGUGACAGCAGUGAGGAAUAUUGGUCAAUGGGCGCGAGCCUGAACCAGCCAAGUAGCGUGACGGAUGACUGCUCUACGGGUUGUAAACUUCUUUUAUAAAGGAAUAAAGUGAGGUACGUGUGCCUUUUUGUAUGUCCUUUAUGAUUCACGACCGCCUAAUUCCGUGCCAGCAGCCGCGGUUAUACGGAGGCACCGAGCGUUAUCCGGAUUUAUUGGGUUUAACGGGAGCGUAGAUGGGUUGUUAAGUCAGUUGUGAAAGUUUGCGGCUCAACCGUAAAAGUGCAAUUGAUACUGGCAGCCUUGAGUACAGUUGAGGUAGGCGGAAUUCGUGGUGUAGCGGUGAAAGGCUUAGAUAUCACGAAGAACUCCGAUUGCGAAGGCAGCCUACUAAACUGCCACUGACAUUGAUGCUCGAAAGUGUGGGUAUCAAACAGGAUUAGAUACCCCGGUAGUC
RNAcentral lists this ribosomal RNA (460 nucleotides) under uncultured bacterium. Its description in RNAcentral is "partial 16S ribosomal RNA". It matches the Rfam family "Bacterial small subunit ribosomal RNA", at positions 338 to 795 of the family's 1533-position model. The record is from RNAcentral.